UACGAAGGUCCCGAGCGUUAUCCGGAUUUAUUGGGUUUAAAGGGUGCGUAGGCGGGCUAUUAAGUCAGUGGUGAAAGCCUUCAGCUUAACUGAAGAAUUGCCAUUGAUACUGAUGGUCUUGAGUAUGAUUGAGGUGGGCGGAAUGUGUCAUGUAGCGGUGAAAUGCUUAGAUAUGACACAGAACACCGAUUGCGAAGGCAGCUCACUAAGCCAUAACUGACGCUGAUGCACGAAAGCGUGGGGAGCAAACAGG
Molecule: ribosomal RNA, 253 nt
Filed under: uncultured bacterium
Lineage: Bacteria
Description: partial 16S ribosomal RNA
Rfam family: Bacterial small subunit ribosomal RNA
Source: RNAcentral